Molecule: long non-coding RNA, 914 nt
Filed under: Anser brachyrhynchus (Pink-footed goose)
Lineage: Eukaryota; Metazoa; Chordata; Aves; Anseriformes; Anatidae
Description: lncRNA (ENSABRG00000005136.1)
Source: RNAcentral
GACAGCUCGGGGUGUUUCAAAACAGCCUUAAGGACAUCGCUCUGAAGUUUGCUGUCUACAUCAGAGAUGUUUGAGAAAGCCACUGAAAUCAUGAAGAGAAAAUUAAUCUAUUAGUUUUCUAAAGAGAUGCCAGAAUAAUUUUGCUAUGUGAAGAUGAACUCCUGAAAUGGGAACCUAUUUGGAGAAUUUAUCUGACAGAAGCAAUAGGACUUCAGCUUGAGGACCUAGACCAGCCCAAAUGAAGCAGUACGGCAGGGAUGGGACUGGCAUCAUCGGCACCCGGAGUCUUCUGCACUUCACAAAGUUACGCAUCUUCUUCUGCAUUUCUUCAAGUACAGAAAACUGGCAACCCGUGUGUCUCUUCAUGUCCUGCAGAGCAAUUAAAGGACAGCCAGCAUUUUCCUCUGCGUGCCACCAGCCACAUCAUUUCAUUCACUGAAGUAGCCGAUGGUGAGAUUAGGCAAAUACUUUGACUUUGCCCCUGCCUUUUGUGGUUGCCGUACCUCUGAAGAUGCCAUUCACCUCUAAUUACAAGUCUGUUGAAAUCAUGCAGAGAAGGAACAGUGUAAGUCAUUAGCCCUCCUAAAUGAAUGUGCAGCUGAGUAGCUAACAAAGGGAUUAACACUUGACAGCAAAAGCGUUGCAUGCUGAAGGAGAGGGUCACUGGGUGACUGCCUAUUACACAGAAAUAAUUGCUAUCCAAUGCUGAGAGAAACCGAUGGCUGCAGGCUGUGUUUACUGCACAGAAAUGCAUUUUUGCUGUCAGUUCUUACCCCCCUGCAUAAUCCGCCCUUGCAUAAAAUAGGGAGAAGGCCUAUUUUGGCCAGGGCAUGGUGGGAAGAGGCAAUGGAAGUACAGGGAACUGAAGCCCAAGAAAAUUUGGUAGGAAUCAUCCCGUUGAACAGAAAACUUUC